Molecule: ribosomal RNA, 398 nt
Filed under: uncultured bacterium
Lineage: Bacteria
Description: bacterial SSU rRNA
Rfam family: Bacterial small subunit ribosomal RNA
Source: RNAcentral
GGAAUAUUGGACAAUGGGCGCAAGCCUGAUCCAGCCAUGCCGCGUGAGUGAUGAAGGCCUUAGGGUUGUAAAGCUCUUUCAGUGGGGACGAUAAUGACGGUACCCACAGAAGGAGCCACGGCUAACUUCGUGCCAGCAGCCGCGGUAAUACGAAGGGGGCUAGCGUUGUUCGGAUUUACUGGGCGUAAAGCGCACGUAGGCGGAUCGUUAAGUGAGGGGUGAAAUCCCAGGGCUCAACCCUGGAACUGCCUUUCAUACUGGCGAUCUCGAGUCCGGAAGAGGUGAGUGGAACUCCUAGUGUAGAGGUGGAAUUCGUAGAUAUUAGGAAGAACACCAGUGGCGAAGGCGGCUCACUGGUCCGGUACUGACGCUGAGGUGCGAAAGCGUGGGGAGCAAAC